GCGAAAUAAAAAUUCCAAAAAACAGAAAGCUAAAAUCGAUUUGGGGAUUUCACUUCAGCCUUUUGUCUCCGUCUCUUCUCUCUUUUGCCUGAGGAGGUGUUCGAAGCACCUCUUCGGAUUUAUUUGAUUUCUCUCUGUUUCUCUGGGAUUUGAAUUACCUUCCCAAUGGCGUCCGAAAUCUCAAACGACAAGACCGCUGUUUUCAGAAAACUGAAAGCAAGGUCAGAAAACAAGAUGUGUUUCGAUUGUAAUGCAAAGAACCCGACUUGGGCGUCGGUUACAUAUGGGAUCUUUCUCUGCAUCGAUUGCUCGGCCGUUCAUCGCAGUCUCGGCGUUCAUAUCAGCUUUGUUAGAUCUACAAAUUUAGACUCGUGGACUCCUGAACAGCUGAGAACGAUGAGCUUCGGGGGGAAACAACCGUGCACAAGUUUUCUUUAAGCAGCAGCAUGGAUGGACGGAUGGAGGCAAAAUUGAGGCUAAGUAUACAUCAAGAGCUGCCGAGUUGUAUAGGCAAAUACUUUCUAAAGAAGUUGUCAAAAGUAUGGCAGAAGAGGCAGGUCUUCCACCAUCACCUGUUACAUCUCAGUCAGGACAAGCAUCUAAUGGGAUUCUUGAUGUUAAGACCCAGGAAGCUCCAAAAGAGAACUCUAUAGCAAGGAAAGAAACGCCUGAAAUCGCUGCUUCCCAGAAAGCCCCCCAUACAUAUGUUACCAGUACUGUUAAGAAGCCUCUUGGUGGUGCUAAGAAAAUUGGGAAGACUGGGGGUCUUGGUGCUCGCAAACUUACUACAAAGCCAAAUGAAAGCCUGUACGAUCAGAAACCUGAAGAUCCAGUUGUCCCACUGCCAGUGUCUUCCUCAACUAACAGCACUCCAACAGCUGGAUCAUCCUUUGCAUCUCGCUUUGAGUAUGUAGAAAUUGUCCAAAAUACUGAGACAAAUCCCACUGGCGCUCAUGUAAUUAGCCAUAUUGCUCCACCAAAGUCAUCAAAUUUCUUUGCAGAUUUUGGAAUGGACAGUAACUUUCCCAAGAAAACUAGUUCAAAUACCUCAAAAGUUCAAAUUCAGGAGUCUGAUGAAGCAAGAAAGAAAUUCACAAAUGCAAAAUCUAUCUCUUCCGCACAAUUUUUUGGUGACCAAAGCAGAUCUGCUGAUGUUGAUGCUCAAACCUCCUUGCAGAAGUUCUCGGGUUCUGCAGCCAUCUCCAGCGCUGAUCUAUUUGGUGACAGGGGAGAUAAUUCAGCUAUUGAUCUUACUGCAAGCGACCUAAUCAACCGACUGUCGUUUCAGGCACAACAGGAUCUCUCUUCCUUAACGAAUAUCGCGGGAGAGACCGGGAAGAAGCUUAGUUCCUUGGCGUCCAAUUUAAUGACGGAUCUUCAGGACAGAAUCCUGUGAUGUUGAUAUGCUGUGUGUCCAUUUGUUAAAGCGUAUGUAGGGAUUGCAAGGAGGGGUUGAUGAAAUUCUUUCAAAGAAGGCAAGACUUGACGAAAAUUCUCGAGGCCUAAGAGUGGCGGGUUGGCGGGUGAUUUUUUUCGUAGAACAGGAAACUAUUAUUGUUCUGAGAUUGUGGAGUAUAUGUGCUCUUGUUUUUGUAAACCACCGUAACAUUACUGCUUUGUGUCAAGCGAGCAACGCGAGAAUACUGUAUUCUCUUAAAACUGUGAAUUUGUCCCUACCCAAUUUUAAUUCAAUCUCGAAUACGGGUCCCUUGCAAGGAACGUGUCGUUGAA
Molecule: non-coding RNA, 1731 nt
Organism: Malus domestica (apple)
Lineage: Eukaryota; Viridiplantae; Streptophyta; Magnoliopsida; Rosales; Rosaceae
Source: RefSeq, a predicted model, not a curated record